UACGUAGGGGCCUAGCGUUGUCCGGAUUUAUUGGGCGUAAAGAGCUCGUAGGCGGUUCGGUAAGUCAGGUGUGAAAUCUCCACGCUCAACGUGGAGGCGCCACCUGAAACUGCCGUGACUAGAGUCCGGUAGGGGAGUGUGGAAUUCCCGGUGUAGCGGUGAAAUGCGCAGAUAUCGGGAGGAACACCUGUGGCGAAGGCGGCCCCCUGGUUGGAUACUGACGCUGAUACGCGAAAGCGUGGGGAGCAAACAGG
RNAcentral lists this ribosomal RNA (254 nucleotides) under uncultured bacterium. Its description in RNAcentral is "partial 16S ribosomal RNA". It matches the Rfam family "Bacterial small subunit ribosomal RNA", at positions 524 to 776 of the family's 1533-position model. The record is from RNAcentral.